UACAGAGGUAGCGAACGUUGUCCGGAUUUACUGGGCGUAAAGGGAUCGUAGGUGGUCAUAUAAGUCGGAUGUGAAAUCGUCUUGCUCAACAAGACCAUUGCAUCUGAUACUGUAUGGCUUGAGUGCAGGAUGGGUAAAUGGAAUUUCCGGUGUAGCGGUGAAAUGCGUAGAUAUCGGAAAGAACACCCGUGGCGAAGGCGGUUUACUGGCCUGCAACUGACACUGAGGAUCGAAAGCCAGGGGAGCAAACGGG
This 253-nucleotide ribosomal RNA is filed under the name uncultured bacterium. RNAcentral's name for it is "partial 16S ribosomal RNA". It matches the Rfam family "Bacterial small subunit ribosomal RNA", at positions 524 to 776 of the family's 1533-position model. The record is from RNAcentral.